Ruditapes philippinarum (Manila clam) is the source of this 773-nucleotide long non-coding RNA. RefSeq lists it as uncharacterized. The transcript is spliced from 5 exons. Lineage: Eukaryota; Metazoa; Mollusca; Bivalvia; Venerida; Veneridae. The record is from RefSeq and is a predicted model, not a curated record.
CACCUACUCCAUAUGAUUGUACAUUUGAGAAUCAGCAACAACCAAUAUGUAGUUGGACUCAGGACACCUCUGACCAGUUCAACUGGACACCAAAAGUGGGCAGUACUGGUUCACUCAACACAGGACCAACUUUUGAUCAUACAUUACAAAAUAGAAAUGUCCCUGGAGUACCUGGUGUUGCUUAUAUCCUUAAAGCUGCAUGCAGGGGACCCCACAUUUGUGAAGAACAAUGUUGUUGGCUGUAGAGUGAUCAGGGUUUUGACAGAACUGGAUAUUCCAAGUUUCUGAUAGACAUAGAGGAAAGAAUCUUCCAGGCAACUAAUGCCCCCUAUACCAUCAUCAACAGUAAUGGAGGUCAAGGUCAAGGAAAUGCUCUGAUGUCAAUUGUGUCAAUUUUUGAUGGACAGCUCACUAAAUAUUUUAGAGUGACCAGAUAAAUGGACAGUCUUAAAUGGAACCAAUAAAAGACAAUUCUUGACUUUCAAACAGCCCAGAUGUUACUGUAGAAUGCUCCAUGGAGGACUGUUUGAUUACCCAUUACCAGAAGAAGAUGACUUCUGUCAUGUUACUGUUUGAUAACAGUGAAGGUACAGUAGGUUCAGACAAGUUAUAUACAUGUAAACAGGACAAGACAGCUCAGACCCGCAGUUUGUUAUAACAGCAAAAAGUGAUAAAGUUACAGCCAUGAAGUCUUCAUGAUGAUGAUCCUAUUUAUAGAUUCUUUGCAAUUAUCUGUAAGGAAGAGGUUUCUGCUGCAGAGAAGAAAAAAAAUC